CUUGAGAUUUUAAUGUCCAUCAACUGAUUUGUGACAAAUCCAUCUCUAUGUGACAUGUCCAUGCAUGGAAAACAAUGCUACAAAACAUUUAAAAACAUGUAAGGGAGUUCAAAUCAAAGUCAAAGUAUGUUAUAAAAUGGACUAGACAAAAUGAUCCCACCUUUGUAAAACAAAUAUUUAUAUGUAUAACUAUACUAAAAUAAAAAUAAUAAAAAACUUACAUUCUGCACCAAAAUAUUGACAGUGGUUUUCUUUGAAUAACAGGAUUUACAGUUAAUAUUUAUCUUCUUCAGUUUUUUUGUCCACUUACACAUUCUCCAGUUAAUACAGACUACUUGUUAAGAGAUGCUCUGGAAAGGCAGUUAGUUACCUUCAUGACGGAGGCAAUCUCCUUCCACUGCUCUGGAGUUGGGUCGGUUCCAGUUGGGUUGUGUGCACAGGCAUGGAGGACAAAGAUGGAGAACUCAGGAGCACUCUGAGGAAAGGGAAGCUACGUCAGCUUGGACACGAGCAGGACUCCCCUGCUUAUCAACUGAUCGAAAAACUUUUUCCUGCUCCCUAUGGUUCUGCUUACUUUUUCAUCUCAUCACCCACCUCCAGAUCCUUCAGGAAACCCUGGAGGUCAAGUCCUCUCUUGGCUGCAUCCCAAUAGUGAUAGGUCCGAAUGUCUUUAAAUCCAGCGGCAGUAAA
Long non-coding RNA from Pipistrellus kuhlii (Kuhl's pipistrelle), 690 nucleotides. RefSeq lists it as uncharacterized. Lineage: Eukaryota; Metazoa; Chordata; Mammalia; Chiroptera; Vespertilionidae. The transcript has 2 exons. The record is from RefSeq and is a predicted model, not a curated record.